AAACCGUUCAGGGGUAAACCCGAGAAACCCAAAAGUUCGAACGGGGAGAUUCAUCGUCAGCGCCGCUGGCUUCGCGUCGGCCGGCGAUGCUGGCGCGGGUCCGCCGUGUCUCGCCACGGCUCCCGCGCUGGCACGCCGCCGUGCGCCGAUGUCCGGCGCGCGUCGUCGUGCACUUCUCCCCCAGUAGGACGUCGCGACCCGCUGGGUGCCGGUCUACGGCCCGGGACGGACGGCUGCAACGUCGCCGGUGAAACGGCACGCGGCAAGCCCCCGGUCGCCCGGCCGGCUGCCCGGCGGUACGGUGAACGGUACGAGGCCGCGCCCUCGGGCGCGUCGAGCCCGUCGCAAGCGAGUGCCACGGUAGCCCGGAGGUUACGGACCCAGUGCCGUCCCCGGCCCUGGCCCGCUGUUGGCAGUACGGUGCACCUUCGACAGGCCUGCGAGCCGCGCGCGGUGUCCCGCUCCUCCCUCGCGGAGGUGAGGGCCCGCGCGCGGCACAUACCGGUCGGCGACGCUACCGCUUUGGGUACUCUCGGGA
Molecule: ribosomal RNA, 538 nt
Filed under: Aenictus ceylonicus
Lineage: Eukaryota; Metazoa; Arthropoda; Insecta; Hymenoptera; Formicidae
Description: partial 28S ribosomal RNA
Source: RNAcentral